RNAcentral lists this ribosomal RNA (253 nucleotides) under uncultured bacterium. RNAcentral describes it as "partial 16S ribosomal RNA". It matches the Rfam family "Bacterial small subunit ribosomal RNA", at positions 524 to 776 of the family's 1533-position model. The record is from RNAcentral.
UACGAAGGGGGCUAGCGUUGCUCGGAUUGACUGGGCGUAAAGGGCGUGUAGGCGGCGGACACAGUCAGACGUGAAAUUCCUGGGCUCAACCUGGGGGCUGCGUUUGAUACAUGUCUGCUUGAGUUCGGAAGAGGGUCGUGGAAUUCCCAGUGUAGAGGUGAAAUUCGUAGAUAUUGGGAAGAACACCGGUGGCGAAGGCGGCGACCUGGUCCGAUACUGACGCUGAGGCGCGAAAGCGUGGGGAGCAAACAGG